Long non-coding RNA from Cylas formicarius (sweet potato weevil), 8073 nucleotides. RefSeq lists it as uncharacterized. The transcript has 3 exons. The record is from RefSeq and is a predicted model, not a curated record. Lineage: Eukaryota; Metazoa; Arthropoda; Insecta; Coleoptera; Brentidae.
GGUAGUAAUACUAGUAGUCUGUAAUCAAAAGGGGUGUUAUUCUUCCCUAUAUCGUUUUUUCAAUAUCAAAUUAUUUACAAUCACAAGGUUUGUGUCCGACGAUAAGUUAUUGUCAUAAAUCGAUUCUUAGAAAAACAAAAUUUGAGGAAAUACUGAUUUACCAACACAAUCAGAGACUUACAAUUAAACGUCAAUAACCUUAGAUGGACGAUCGAAAAAUAAAAGCGUUUCGGAUAUUUAUUUUAGGACUAGAGUAGCAGAAAGAAUAGGCGAGUAAUUGUGAUAUAAGCGGGGAACUAGGAAUUAGUGGUAAAUAUAUAAAGAAUGCUGCUGUAAGUGGAGCUGCAGCUUCCUUCCAAAAUUUUUGGUCAACUUGGUUUACUGAAUUAAGUAUCGUGUGAAAAAUAUUUUUAAUACAAAUCAUUAACUUAUAACUGGAGCGAGUCGUAAAAAUUUUGCAGCUAUUUCCCUGAAUCUUAGCCAUCAAUUUGAGUGCGAAAAAUGGCCAGACAUCCUAAAAGUUAACGUGAGUAAAUUUAUUAGUAGCAUAAAUUUUUAGCUAAAUGCUUAUCUGCUUCAUUUAAAGAAUCAAAAAUUAUAGUUUGAAUGGCUCGUUAGAUCAUCAACAUACCUGAAAUGAUGACUGGCGAACUAAACGCUUUGAAAAGAGACAUAUGCAAAUGCCCACAUUAUAUUUGGUUUGUUCAUGCUUAACGCACAACUGAAUAUUGAUUGAUAUAUCAAUUUAUAUCCCCUAAGGUAUUAAUCUUAAAGUAGAAGAUUUAGAGGAAACGUUGUAGCAAAUAUGUGAAUAAGCAAAUUCAUCACCGAACAAAGGUAUCGAGAAAAAAUUAUGGCUUAUGUGUUAUAUGUUAUGAACAUUUUGGUUGGCGGUAUCCAAGUGAAGGUAACUAAAACUGACUGGUGAAAACGUAUGCUUUUACAAAUAAAACGGGUUCAAUUUUUACCCGGAAAAAUAGCAUAUGGUUAGAUGGUGUUCUGGGUGGCUCAUACAAUUAUUUUAAGUAGGUGAGAUUGCAAAUUGGAUAUACUGUUCGAACCGUUGUCUCCAAUUCUUGGAGAAGCAUUUUUCUAUCUUCUUGAGUUCAUGGAAUUUACACAACAAUUCGAUAUAAUUUACCCAAUGUACCCGCAGCCCUGGUCCUAGCACUCUUCUGUCGUAACCACUCGCCCACCUAUUUUCACCAAUUAGGUCAUUUUUGAAGUUUGAUUGUUUUAAUGCACAUGCACUUCCAUCAGCAUAGAUUAAUUAACUUUGGCAACUGUGUGUGUGUUGCCCGGUAUAGUUAAGGGUGCCAUGUCAUAGUGGAACAAGCAACGACUAUCUGUUUCUAAUGUGCCAAUGUCAGCAAUAAUAAAAGAUGCUUGAAUUUUAAAAAAAUUAAUAUGUGUAAGUCUCGAAUAUUUUAACAUGGUUUAAGGUAUGUAAGUAGCUUUAAAUUGUGUGUUUCUAUCAAGUCCCCUUAGUCAUCACUGACGUAUAAGAAUACGCCAACUUGAGCCUCUGCAAUAAACGUCAAACAUUAAAAUCACUUGGAUACAAAAAAUAUUUUCAUGUUUUUGGUAUUUUGCUUUUUAGACAAGAUCGAGACUUCACCGAUAUAUAUUAUAUACUUACCGAUAAUCCAACAUCCAAAUCCAUAACCCCAAAAUGACCAACUCUCAGACACAGCGGCUUCUGACAUCUCACGCUCAUUAUGAGUACCAUGACUUGAGUUGCGGUGUCUUGUUGGUACCAGUCACUCUCGAAGAGGCCUCUGGCUAAUUCCGAACUCUAAAAUAAAAUCUCUACAAGAUUAAUGUAUUCCGAAUGCAUAGAGAACAGACAAUCUGCACCCGCAUAUAUUUAGUUUAUAAGUCCCACGCAAAAAUAUUUUAAUUAAAAAAAUUUCAGUUGGUUGUAAAUUUGACCAUCAUAUUGUCCAUUAGUUCUUGAUAUUAGUGGUAUUGUAUUAUAUCAUAACUGAUAAUUACUUUCUCCAAGAUAAUACCUUCAACGACGGCCAUUAUUAAAAUAAAUGACCAAUUAUUUUCAAUCAUUAGUAUGCCCAAUAACGAGACUUACCUGAACAUAAUCUCAUUAGACGUCCAUGCGAAGACAAGAAGUUGCAUAGAUGUGUAGGUCAACAUUACAAACGCAAAAAAAAGGUCGGAUGCCCUAGAAAUUAUUGUGUAUUUGUUAGGCAGCAAGACGUUAAUUCAAAAAACUUUGGUUAGUUUUGUUGGGAACAUAUUGGUCGUUGCGGAAAUGCCUAUUUUUGCUGGAAUCUUGUCCCAAUCAAGAGUUACAGAACAGAAGGUUUUACGUUAAUAUCUGCUGCUUUGUCGAUGUUUUCGAUACGAAGAAGCCGAUUUUGAUUAAAAAUUUAUCGAACUCGAUAAGAAAUGGCAACAAUUUGAACCAUAAAGUAAGGUUUUAAGCUGAUAUCUGCAGGUUUGAUGGCGUGUAAUAUCAUGAGAAAAUAAAUAACAAUUUUACAAUUGCAAUGAAAUCUAUGUGGGACAAGUACUUUGUUAUUUCGUGCGGCCACUGCUUACCAGAGUAAUUUGUAGGAUUUGUGCUGCAAACGAUAGAGAAGAAACUAUAUACUCCAACAAUAUAAUAGUUUUGAAGGACUGUUUCAGAUCGUCGACGUAGCUGCAAAUAAUUUCGGUAAAAAAGAAGCAUUAAAAUUAAGUAUAAUAGUUAAAACCCUCCGUUUUAGAUCUUAAACUUUUAAACACUUAAACAUUGUGCAAUAUAUAAAUUCAUAUUUACCCAAUUAGAUUUUGAUGCUUAACACACAACCUCUUGAGCAAAUCCGCACCUUGUAAGUUAUCCAAUUUAUCAAAGUUCCUAAAACUAUGUUAACUGGAGUCUGACAAAUACGAAUAUGGUAUUGACGAAUGCGCCAACCACAGCAACCAGUAAUGAAGCAAACAUCGCUCGAAUAUUCUGGUCAACCAAAACCAAGGUGUAGUGUUUAUUCCUAUCGAACGGAUGCCAAUAAUACCAAUACCAUAUUGCCACCUCGGUGUUGCUUGAAAUACGUGUAGCAAUUAAUGUAACCUGCAAGGAUUAACUUCAAUUGCACUUAAAUCAACAAUUUAUUGGAAAAAUUUUACCAAAUAUGUUCACGCAUAUAGCCACCAAGAACGACCCGCAGGAAAGGAUAGUGACGACGUAAUUACCGCAACUAUGCCAUUCGUAUAUCGCUUUUAUUUCGGCGUUAAUGUGUCCUGCGAUUUGAAAUUACGACUGCAAGGCAAGUCGCAGCAGACUCACAAUGGAUUUUGACUGGCACAUAAACAUUUUGGCUAGCAUAACCACGGAAAAAGUAAUUAAACCCAUGGUACUUAUUGCUAGAAGUAGGUUAGUAUAUUAUAUUAUAUGUCAGCAAAUGUGUAGCUCAUACAAUACCUAUGCGGUUAACGGCUUGCGUACUAAACACUAUUAUUAUGUUAUCUUUCACUAAAAAAAAAUUGAAAGAUUUUUUUAAUAUAACAAACACUUAAGUUUUUUUAAAUGGCUUUUGGAAGAUAGAUAAAGUGCAAAAUGUUCAAAAUAAGGAAUUUCCAGAAAAAUUCAAAAAAAUGAACUUAGGGAGUUAGCUUUGGUUAGUUUUUAAUUUUGUUUUAUAAUGAUGUAUUCUGCUCUCGAUUUUGUUUAAUUGUCCGAAAUGAUCACAAAAAAUAAAAAUUAAAAAACUUUUUUUUAAUUAUAUUUGUUAUAUUUCGAAUAAUCGAAUUCAAUUAAUGCAACAUUAUGCUGAUCGUCCACUUUGUGGACUUGAGGUUUGAAUUGCUGAUUGCUCAUUUCCUUGAUUGAAUUUACCUAGUGAAAGACAUUACGGCGACUCUAAUGACUAUUGAAAUAUCAGCAAAUUAUUAGAGACAGUGUUUCAUCAACAAAAACCUUGCAAAAUCCCAAUUGAAUUUUAGUAGUCAAUACUCAGAAAACAGAUCAAAUUGAUUUGUGCAUCUUUACACUAACUCUAGCUGUAUUACCUGCCGGCAUAUCUGUUUUUAACAAAGUAGGCAUGUUUAACGUAUACGAAAUCAACGAUGAGCAUAGACCCAUCUGAAUAAAGAUGGAAUAGGCAUGGUAGAACGAUCUCUUCGAGAUCGAAAAUUCUUCGAUUUCAAUUCUCCAUAUUCCGCUAAUUAUCAUCAACCAUUUUAUGUACCUAAAGUAUCGCUGGGUCAGGUCGAUGUGAUCCAUAUUCGACUAUCCGAAAUGAACCAGAAAUAUUAAAUAUGCGUUUCGCUCCAAUUCGUCUAGGAAACUGGAGCGAAAAGCUCUGCUGCUAAAUGAAUAUAUAUACCUGCGAAUAUUGCGGAUAUAAUAACAAAGUUCAAGGUUUAAGAAAGAGAGGAAUAUCAUUGACGUGCUUCGAAUUUAUUUGUUGAUUUUGGUUAGUUUUGGUUAGCACCGACUCUUGUCAUCUUGAAUGAGAUCUUCAUUACUUUCUAACAUCGACAUAGCCAAUACAUCUUAUAUAAACGCAAUAUAUUUAUAUAAUUUGUUUGAAAUGUAAAAGUAAUCAUUGGCCCAGUAUGAGUGGAAGUCAGGUUAUGCGCAUGUUGCAUUAACAUCAAAAGCAAUUAUUACACCACCGUGCAAUAAAAAUAAAACUUACUCUGGCAUGUAAUCAAAACGAGUACUAUUGUUCCCCAUAUCGUUUUUUCUAUACCAAAUUAUUUAUAAGCCAAACGUGGUCCGCGAAUAAGUUGUUUCCGUAAAUUGAUUGGUGAGGAAAUAAAAUUUACCGAAAAACUGAUCCGCUAAGACAAUCGAAAAUUUACAAUUAAAAACCAGUGACGUAACAAUAACGACCGAAAUGGAGAAGCGUUCCAGAUGUUUAUUUGGCGACCAGCGUUUCGAGCGACGUAUACUCUGUUCUUAUCAACUGGGUCAACCUCAAGAAGCAUCGUGUUAGUAGUUAGCAGCAGUCUUACGUGAAUAAUAAUCUCGUUGGAAGUCCAUGCGAACACGAGCAAUUGUAUAACCGUGUAAGCCAACAAUAUGAAUGCGAAAAAUGGUCGGACACCCUAGAAAUUAAUUUAACGUUAUUUGCAGAAUCUGUGACGCGAACGACUGCGAGGAUAUCACGUACUCCAAGAAUAUGAUAGUUUUGAAGGACGCGUUCUGGGCGGUUUGAAACGAAAAAUAUGUUAACCGAUAAACAUGUAUGAGAUUUUCUUUUGACAAUAUGUAAACCCAUAGAACUUAUAUACCGAAUUAAAUGCUGAUGUCAACGCAUAUUCCCGCAAAUAAACCACCGAAGAAGAGGAUCGAGAUAAAAAAAUUAUCGCAGCUUAUGUGCCAUUCGUAUAUCGCUUUUAUUUCUCCACUGAUUUGUCCUCCUUGAUUUUCUUGAUAUUCCGACUGCAAGGCUAGCCGCAGCAGUCUGACAAUGGGUUUCGAUUGGCACAUGAACAUUUUGGUUAGUGCCACCCCAUUGAAGAUAAUUAAUCCCAUCGUACUGACUGCUAGAAACGCAUAUCAAUAAAAGGGAUUUUAUAGUAUUCGGGCUGGCUCAAAGAGUCAGUGAGUUUGUAAAUUCGAUAUGCUUAUCUUCGAUAAAUACUUUUCUUUCGUCUUUAUUUCUGUUUGGAAUUGAUCUUACAAUGCCAUAUAAAAUUUAAAUGUUACCGUACCCAUUAAUCGCUUCGAUUUUAAGCUCUAAGCAAAAAAUUAAGUGAAAAUAAAUAUCAAAUUCUGCCAUUUUGAUUUCGGGAAAUCUGAAUACAUAGUUCCAUUUUUUUCAGACGAGAUGGUUCGUAUAACUAUUAAGUUUGGUGAGAAAAUUCUGUCUGUUUAGAAAUACUUCUAAAUAAAAUGCCAAGUCACACUUCUGUACAUAUUUAUUUAUGCGGUAAGGCAUUUUCACCUGUAUAACUUUAAAUAAAUGUAUUCAUUUUCUAAUUACUUCAAAUAAGUAUUCCGUUGUGAUCAAACUAGUUAAACAGUUUGUUUCAAAACAAAUGUGAAAAACUUAAGGCGGUGAUUCGUCGUUUACCAACCACGUGCUACAAAUAUGGCGGAAACAUAAUGUUUUAAUUAUUUUUUUUUUAAACGGAAAUAGAUGGAAUAAUAAAAUAUUACGGAAGUAUUACGCAGUUUCUGCAUAUUUUUUUUAAAUAAGUGGCCUUGUCAUUGUUUUUAAUAAAAUUUAAAUAAAAUCUUACGCAAUGACAUAUAAACAAAAUAAAUUUUGGAGAUGUGUUUAUUAGAAACUUUUUGCUCUCGCGUAAUAUUUUCAUAAAACUCAUAGUUUUCAAAUAAAAGAAUAAAAUGUAAAGAAUUGCAUGCUGAAAAAACAUUACGGCUGUACAUAAAAUCUAUAUCUGCCAUUUCGCGUUAGUGUAAUUAGAUAUGUUUUUAAUUAAAUUACUUGUAUUUUGUAAUCACUCUAACUGCGUAACGUCAAAGAAAGCAAUAAUAAGAAACGCCUUAAGAAGUGACAGCAACCCACUAGAUUUCUUUUUUUUUUUGGUAUAAAAAAUUUGCAGGAGACAAAAGUUUCUUAAAAAUACAUAUUAUUUUAUGUUAUUGCAUAAGUUUUUCCUUAAAUUCAGUUAGGAAGAUUGAUAUUGGUAGUCAAAUUUUAUCUCCUCUCUCCUCUCCCUAUCCAAGAUAAAAAGAUAAGAUAAAAAAUAAAGCGUGACUUUCCGCCAUAUUUGUACCGCGAUAUCUGCCUAAUGCUUGGCUUUUGAUAUAACGUUUAUAUAACAAACUAGCGUUUAUUUUAAACAACGCCCUUAAGUUUUUUGCAUUUAUUUAAAACAGUCUGCAUAUUAUUACGUUGUCAUUUUUUAUAUUCUCAAGUACAAUGACCACUUAUUUUGCCGUUGUCAAUGCUGAGAACUUAACCGGAAAUUAGAAACUUAUCUCAAUAUGACCACCUUCUGAAUGUAUUAGAUUCUAUGGUACCAAAUUUACCCCUUAAGUUUUUUGCAUUUGUUUUAAAACAGUCUGUAUAUUUUUACGUUAUCAUUUUUCUAUAUUCUCAAGUGCAAUGACCACUUAUUUUGCCAUUGUCAAUGUUGAGAACUUAACCGGAAAUUAGCUUCGAAAAGAAUGCAAACUUAUCUUUAUAAGACCACCUUCUUAGUGUAUUAGAUUCUAUGGUACUAUUUUGUGCAGCAAUACUAAUAAAAUUGUAAUAAUUCUAAAAUUACCUGCUGGCAUAUCCGUUUUUAACAAUUUAGGCAUAUUGAGCGUAUAUGAAAUCAACGACGAGGAAAAAACCAUCUGAAUCAAAAUGGCGAAUAUAUGAUACGACGUUUUCUUUGGGGACGAGAGUUCUUCGAUCUUAAUUCUCCAAAUGCCUGCACUGACCAUCAGCCAUUUUACGUAUUUAAAGUAUUGAUGAGUUAAGUUGAUAUGAAUCAUGUUCUCGACGGUACGAAAUCGACAGGGAAAAUGUAAUAAAACGUUUUCUUUCAUUUGUAUUAUUAAAGCGAACCGAAAACUAUCUUAAAACAUAAAUGAAGUAAUGACAGAGUACAGCGUUACAAACAGACGGAUAUCUUUGACGUGCUUCGAAUUUGUUUGGCAAGUUUUACACCAGGCCUUUUACUUUGGUGUUCCAAUUUUUCUAUUUUCCUGGCUCCGACGUAUAGAAAAGGUUUACUUUAACAAUAAGUAACAUAGAAUAUUUGUCGUUAGUUUAUGUGUGCUUUCUAACUUUGUAACUCAAUAUUACGCAGGUCAUCCACCUACUCCAUCAAAAAUUAUCCACUACUUAGUGAAAAUGAAAGACACCUCGGUUGAUUUCAUUGAUUGAUUUACAUUACAUAAGACGUAAAGUUAGCAAGCAAAAUUCCGAAUUCGCACGUCCCUGACGCGCGACUCAUGAAUGAAUAAUGAAAGGGUAACGCUGCAAAAUAUACUAUUGUUGUACGACUGAUCUGUAAUCAAAAGGGGCGACAUUCUUUUCAGUAUCGAGUAAUUCACAAACCAAACGUUUGUGUUUGUGAAUAAAGUUCGAAAUGAAUUUUCCGUCAACAGAGUUUUUUCUGUUUUACAAGGUUUUGAGUAGUGUCGUCGAAUUAAUACACGUCGGC